GAUAAACGCUGGCGGCGCACAUAAGACAUGCAAGUCGAACGGAAGUCGUUAUAAAAAGGAUUGAAGAUUUAUCUGAUUGAUAUUUAUAACAAUGGCUUUAGUGGCGGACUGGUGAGUAACACGUAAGCAACCUGCCUGUUAGAGGGGAACAACAGUUAGAAAUGACUGCUAAUACCGCAUAUGCCAUAGCAAGGACAUCCUUGCAGUGGGAAAGGAGAAGUCCGCUAACAGAUGGGCUUGCGUCUGAUUAGAUAGUUGGUGGGUAACGGCCUACCAAGUCGACGAUCAGUAGCCGGACUGAGAGGUUGAACGGCCACAUUGGGACUGAGAUACGGCCCAGACUCCUACGGGAGGCAGCAGUCGGGAAUAUUGCGCAAUGGAGGAAACUCUGACGCAGUGACGCCGCGUGCAGGAAGAAGGUUUUCGGAUUGUAAACUGCUUUAGACAGGGAAGAAAAAAGACAGUACCUGUAGAAUAAGCUCCGGCUAACUACG
Molecule: ribosomal RNA, 494 nt
Filed under: uncultured bacterium
Lineage: Bacteria
Description: bacterial SSU rRNA
Rfam family: Bacterial small subunit ribosomal RNA
Source: RNAcentral